AAGAAAGUAAGAAAGGGCGUAUGGCGGAUGCCUAGGCUCACGGAGGCGAUGAAGGACGUGAUAAGCUGCGAUAAGCUUCGGGUAGGUGCAAAUAACCCUUGAUCCGAAGAUUUCCGAAUGGGACAACCUAGCCGUCUGAAGGACGGUUACUCAAUCUUCAAGAUUGAGAGCUAACGCAGGGAACUGAAACAUCUUAGUACCCGGAGGAAGAGAAAGAAAAUUCGAUUCCCUUAGUAGCGGCGAGCGAAACGGGAAGAGCCCAAACCAACAAGCUUGCUUGUUGGGGUUGUAGGACACUCUAUACGGAGUUACAUAAUGCUGCUGCCACUAUUAAUGGUGUGAAUGGGUCAAAUGAAAUACCUUGAACCACUUGUGCAUUAAACAUAAUUUCGCCAACUCCAAUUGUUGACACAAUAGAUGAUUCUUU
RNAcentral lists this ribosomal RNA (427 nucleotides) under Salmonella enterica subsp. enterica serovar London. RNAcentral describes it as "partial 23S ribosomal RNA". It matches the Rfam family "Bacterial large subunit ribosomal RNA", at positions 1 to 388 of the family's 2925-position model. Lineage: Bacteria; Pseudomonadati; Pseudomonadota; Gammaproteobacteria; Enterobacterales; Enterobacteriaceae. The record is from RNAcentral.